This 393-nucleotide ribosomal RNA is filed under the name uncultured bacterium. RNAcentral's name for it is "partial 16S ribosomal RNA". It matches the Rfam family "Bacterial small subunit ribosomal RNA", at positions 523 to 918 of the family's 1533-position model. The record is from RNAcentral.
AUACGGAGGAUGCGAGCGUUAUCCGGAUUUAUUGGGUUUAAAGGGAGCGUAGGUGGGAUAUUAAGUCAGCUGUGAAAGUUUGGGGCUCAACCUUCAAAUUGCAGUUGAUACUGGUUUCCUUGAGUACGGUACAGGUGGGCGGAAUUCGUGGUGUAGCGGUGAAAUGCUUAGAUAUCACGAAGAAAUCCGAUCGCGAAGGCAGCUCACCGGGCCGGAACUGACACUGAUGCUCGAAAGUGCGGGUAUCAAACAGGAUUAGAUACCCUGGUAGUCCGCACAGUAAACGAUGAAUACUCGCUGUUUGCGAUACACGGUAAGCGGCCAAGCGAAAGCGUUAAGUAUUCCACCUGGGGAGUACGCCGGCAACGGUGAAACUCAAAGGAAUUGACGGGG